This 505-nucleotide ribosomal RNA is filed under the name uncultured bacterium. Its description in RNAcentral is "partial 16S ribosomal RNA". It matches the Rfam family "Bacterial small subunit ribosomal RNA", at positions 28 to 507 of the family's 1533-position model. The record is from RNAcentral.
GACGAACGCUGGCGGCGUGCCUAAUACAUGCAAGUAGAACGCACAGUUUAUACCGUAGCUUGCCACACCAUAGACUGUGAGUUGCGAACGGGUGAGUAACGCGUAGGUAACCUGCCUGGUAGCGGGGGAUAACUAUUGGAAACGAUAGCUAAUAUCGCAUAAUAUUAAUUAUUGCAUGAUAAUUAAUUGAAAGGUGCAAUUGCACCACUACCAGAUGGACCUGCGUUGUAUUAGCUAGUAGGUGAGGUAACGGCUCACCUAGGCGACGAUACAUAGCCGACCUGAGAGGGUGAUCGGCCACACUGGGACGGAGACACGGCCCAGACUCCUACGGGAGGCAGCAGUAGGGAAUCUUCGGCAAUGGACGAAAGUCUGACCGAGCAACGCCGCGUGAGUGAAGAAGGGUUUCGGAUCGUAAAGCUCUGUUGUAAGAGAAGAACGGGUGUGAGAGUGGAAAGUUCACACUGUGACGGUAUCUUACCAGAAAGGGACGGCUAACUACGUG